Molecule: ribosomal RNA, 442 nt
Filed under: uncultured bacterium
Lineage: Bacteria
Description: partial 16S ribosomal RNA
Rfam family: Bacterial small subunit ribosomal RNA
Source: RNAcentral
AACGCGAAGAACCUUACCUGGGCUUGAACCGCACAGGACCAGCUUGAGAAAUCAGGCCUUCCCGCAAGGGACCUGUGUAGAGGUGCUGCAUGGCUGUCGUCAGCUCGUGCCGUGAGGUGUUGGGUUAAGUCCCGCAACGAGCGCAACCCUUGUCCUUAGUUGCCAUCAUUCAGUUGGGAACUCUAAGGAGACCGCCGGUGACAAACCGGAGGAAGGUGGGGAUGACGUCAAGUCAUCAUGGCCUUUAUGGCCAGGGCUACACACGUGCUACAAUGGCAGGUACAGAGGGAAGCCAACGCGCGAGCGGGAGCCAAUCCCAGAAAGCCUGUCGUAGUCCGGAUCGGAGUCUGCAACUCGACUCCGUGAAGUCGGAAUCGCUAGUAAUCGCAGAUCAGCAUUGCUGCGGUGAAUACGUUCCCGGGCCUUGUACACACCGAGUAUA